This 438-nucleotide ribosomal RNA is filed under the name uncultured bacterium. RNAcentral describes it as "partial 16S ribosomal RNA". It matches the Rfam family "Bacterial small subunit ribosomal RNA", at positions 339 to 795 of the family's 1533-position model. The record is from RNAcentral.
CUACGGGAGGCUGCAGUGAGGAAUAUUGCACAAUGGGGGGAACCCUGAUGCAGCAACGCCGCGUGGAGGAUGACGCAUUUCGGUGUGUAAACUCCUUUUAUAUGUCAAGAAAAUGACGGUAGCAUAUGAAUAAGCACCGGCUAACUCCGUGCCAGCAGCCGCGGUAAUACGGAGGGUGCAAGCGUUACUCGGAAUCACUGGGCGUAAAGGACGCGUAGGCGGGUUGGAAAGUCAGGUGUGAAAUCCUACGGCUUAACUGUAGAACUGCACUUGAAACUUCUAAUCUAGAGUAUGGGAGGGGAGAUGGAAUUAGUGGUGUAGGGGUAAAAGCCGUAGAUAUCACUAGGAAUACCUAAAGCGAAGGCGAUCUCCUGGAACAUUACUGACGCUAAGGCGUGAAAGCGUGGGGAGCAAACAGGAUUAGAUACCCGAGUAGUC